AGUAUCAUCCAAAGUUCCUAACAGAAAUGCCUAAUAACAUGGCAACCGCAAUAAAAAAUAACCAAAUUGCUAAAAAGGAUAAUUAGGGCAUCAAGAGGCAAUGCACUUUUAACUGCACAUAGACAACCUUGCAGAGAAUCCUAUAAGGAAAAUUAUAGACAGGUAUCUCCACUUUACCAUCUUUGUUCGUGUAUGCUUCAACCUACACCACAAUUCAAAAAGUAACUCACGGUUUCGUGAAUGACUUUGCAUCCAUGUAAAAGCAAACACUGCACAUUCCCGCAAAGUAAAAUCAACCAGCAUUUAUUUGUAUUGCAUUUUACAUGAGCGUGGUCAUUAUGAUACAGUGAUUGUCUUUUAGAUCAUUACUUCAAAUUUGGAAGGACUAACAACUAACAGCGGUCGACAACUCCCCUUUUAUUGCCCUUCUUGUCGAAGUUUUUUAUUGUGUUGCAUGCGACAAAAUUCAGUAACUACAUUUCCACAUUACAUUAAAAGCCGGGAAAGAUUGUGUGAUUUUCACUAAAUGAACUGAGAUUACAGUAAUACACUAUAAUGUAAAAAAGAGACAGAGCAGUGAGAACCCCUUUGAGGUUACAAGUGAGAAUGAAUAAUUGAUUCAGAUAACUUGAAACAGGAAACCAUUAAAAGGCCUAUAAACAAAAUCAAAAUCAAAAGAACCAGAUAAUUUUUAAGGUAGAGAAUUCACUCAAUGCACUUCUUAACCACAGAUAGAGAAGAAUACUUCUUCAUUUGAGAUAAUCAUUACACAUAACGUUACGAAGACAAUCCUUCACAACUAAAAAAAAGCAAUAACAACUUAUAAUAUAAUGAAAAUAAUGAUUUGCAAAAUGAAAAAACUGAACCCACUCAAAUUUCGUAUGAAGACCAAGAAUAGAGCAAAGAAUAUAAGUACACAUUGGACUUACCCUAUUUGAUAGCUUAUUUAACCAAACAGGUUUCAACCUUUUUCCACAAAUUAUCAAGACUUGCUCCAACACAGCCCACUUGGAGUGAAUGAAGAUGGAGGAAGGGUACAAACAAAAUCCUG
RNAcentral lists this long non-coding RNA (1051 nucleotides) under Actinidia chinensis (golden kiwifruit). Its description in RNAcentral is "long non-coding RNA (ACHI_LNC002928)". Lineage: Eukaryota; Viridiplantae; Streptophyta; Magnoliopsida; Ericales; Actinidiaceae. The record is from RNAcentral.